GAUGAACGCUGGCGGCGUGCCUAAUACAUGCAAGUCGAGCGAACAGAUAAGGAGCUUGCUCCUCUGAAGUUAGCGGCGGACGGGUGAGUAACACGUGGGUAACCUACCUAUAAGACUGGGAUAACUUCGGGAAACCGGAGCUAAUACCGGAUAACAUUUAGAACCGCAUGGUUCUAAAGUGAAAGAUGGUUUUGCUAUCACUUAUAGAUGGACCCGCGCCGUAUUAGCUAGUUGGUAAGGUAACGGCUUACCAAGGCGACGAUACGUAGCCGACCUGAGAGGGUGAUCGGCCACACUGGAACUGAGACACGGUCCCGACUCCUACGGGAGGCAGCAGUAGGGAAUCUUCCGCAAUGGGCGAAAGCCUGACGGAGCAACGCCGCGUGAGUGAUGAAGGGUUUCGGCUCGUAAAACUCUGUUAUUAGGGAAGAACAAAUGUGUAAGUAACUGUGCACAUCUUGACGGUACCUAAUCAGAAAGCCACGGCUAACUACGU
RNAcentral lists this ribosomal RNA (496 nucleotides) under uncultured bacterium. Its description in RNAcentral is "partial 16S ribosomal RNA". It matches the Rfam family "Bacterial small subunit ribosomal RNA", at positions 28 to 506 of the family's 1533-position model. The record is from RNAcentral.